ACGGGUGAGUAACGCGUAUGCAACUUGCCUAUCAGAGGGGGAUAACCCGGCGAAAGUCGGACUAAUACCGCAUGAAGCAGGGAUCCCGCAUGGGAAUAUUUGCUAAAGAUUCAUCGCUGAUAGAUAGGCAUGCGUUCCAUUAGGCAGUUGGCGGGGUAACGGCCCACCAAGACAUCGAUGGAUAGGGGUUCUGAGAGGAAGGUCCCCCACAUUGGAACUGAGACACGGUCCAA
RNAcentral lists this ribosomal RNA (233 nucleotides) under uncultured Bacteroidota bacterium. RNAcentral describes it as "uncultured Bacteroidetes bacterium partial 16S ribosomal RNA". It matches the Rfam family "Bacterial small subunit ribosomal RNA", at positions 102 to 334 of the family's 1533-position model. Lineage: Bacteria; Pseudomonadati; Bacteroidota. The record is from RNAcentral.